UCAAACCCAACAAAGCCCCUGGACUAGA
Molecule: non-coding RNA, 28 nt
Filed under: Drosophila erecta
Lineage: Eukaryota; Metazoa; Arthropoda; Insecta; Diptera; Drosophilidae
Also listed under: 1 other name
Source: RNAcentral